Molecule: ribosomal RNA, 225 nt
Filed under: uncultured bacterium
Lineage: Bacteria
Description: partial 16S ribosomal RNA
Rfam family: Bacterial small subunit ribosomal RNA
Source: RNAcentral
GAUCCUGGCUCAGGAUGUACGCUAGCUACAGGCUUAACACAUGCAAGUCGAGGGGCAGCAUGGUCUUAGCUCGCUAAGGCCGAUGGCGACCGGCGCACGGGUGAGUAACACGUAUCCAACCUGCCGUCUACUCUUGGACAGCCUUCUGAAAGGAAGAUUAAUACAAGAUGGCAUCAUGAGUCCGCAUGUUCACAUGAUUAAAGGUAUUCUGGUAGACGAUGGGGA